RNAcentral lists this transfer RNA (74 nucleotides) under Mycoplasmoides gallisepticum VA94_7994-1-7P. RNAcentral describes it as "tRNA-Und (NNN) (tRNA-Und-NNN-1-1)". The record is from RNAcentral. RNAcentral also lists the same sequence under 7 other names. Lineage: Bacteria; Bacillati; Mycoplasmatota; Mycoplasmoidales; Mycoplasmoidaceae.
GUAUCUAAACUGUAAAGAAAACUAAUUUGCUGAGUCGAUUGUGGAAACGGGUUCGAUUCCCGUCAUCUCCACCA